RNAcentral lists this ribosomal RNA (210 nucleotides) under uncultured bacterium. RNAcentral's name for it is "partial 16S ribosomal RNA". It matches the Rfam family "Bacterial small subunit ribosomal RNA", at positions 1293 to 1500 of the family's 1533-position model. The record is from RNAcentral.
UCGGAUCGCAGGCUGCAACCCGCCUGCGUGAAGUCGGAAUCGCUAGUAAUCGCGGAUCAGCAUGCCGCGGUGAAUACGUUCCCGGGCCUUGUACACACCGCCCGUCACACCAUGAGAGUCGGGAACACCCGAAGUCCGUAGCCUAACUUUAACGAGGGGGCGCGGCCGAAGGUGGGUUCGAUAAUUGGGGUGAAGUCGUAACAAGGUAGC